Molecule: ribosomal RNA, 211 nt
Filed under: uncultured bacterium
Lineage: Bacteria
Description: partial 16S ribosomal RNA
Rfam family: Bacterial small subunit ribosomal RNA
Source: RNAcentral
UACGAAGGGGGCGAAGCGUUGUUCGGAAUUACUGGGCGUAAAGGGCGCGUAGGCGGCUUAUCAAGUCAGGCGUGAAAUUCCCGGGCUCAACCUGGGGGCGUGCGCUUGAUACUGAUGAGCUUGAAUGCGGGAGAGGAUAGUGGAAUUCCCAGUGUAGAGGUGAAAUUCGUAGAUAUUGGGAAGAACACCAGUGGCGAAGGCGGCUAUCUGG